GACGAACGCUGGCGGCGUGCUUAACACAUGCAAGUCGAACGGAAAGGCCCUGCUUUUGUGGGGUGCUCGAGUGGCGAACGGGUGAGUAACACGUGAGUAACCUGCCCUUGACUUUGGGAUAACUUCAGGAAACUGGGGCUAAUACCGGAUAGGAGCUCCUGCUGCAUGGUGGGGGUUGGAAAGUUUCGGCGGUUGGGGAUGGACUCGCGGCUUAUCAGCUUGUUGGUGGGGUAGUGGCUUACCAAGGCUUUGACGGGUAGCCGGCCUGAGAGGGUGACCGGCCACAUUGGGACUGAGAUACGGCCCGGACUCCUACGGGAGGCAGCAGUGGGGAAUAUUGCACAAUGGGCGGAAGCCUGAUGAAGCAACGCCGCGUGCGGGAUGACGGCCUUCGGGUUGUAAACCGCUUUCGCCUGUGACGAAGCGUGAGUGACGGUAAUGGGUAAAGAAGCACCGGCUAACUACGUG
RNAcentral lists this ribosomal RNA (468 nucleotides) under uncultured bacterium. RNAcentral's name for it is "partial 16S ribosomal RNA". It matches the Rfam family "Bacterial small subunit ribosomal RNA", at positions 28 to 507 of the family's 1533-position model. The record is from RNAcentral.